GGUUGUAAACCGCUUUUGUCAGGGAAGAAAUCCUUUGAGCUAAUACCUCGGAGGGAUGACGGUACCUGAAGAAUAAGCACCGGCUAACUACGUGCCAGCAGCCGCGGUAAUACGUAGGGUGCAAGCGUUAAUCGGAAUUACUGGGCGUAAAGCGUGCGCAGGCGGUUGUGUAAGACAGAUGUGAAAUCCCCGGGCUCAACCUGGGAACUGCAUUUGUGACUGCACAGCUAGAGUACGGGAGAGGGGGAUGGAAUUCCGCGUGUAGCAGUGAAAUGCGUAUAUAUGCGGAGGAACACCGAUGGCGAAGGCAAUCCCCUGGACCUGUACUGACGCUCAUGCACGAAAGCGUGGGGAGCAAACAGGAUUACAUACCCUGGUAGUCCACGCCCUAAACGAUGUCAACUGGUUGUUGGGAGGGUUUCUUCUCAUUAACGAAG
This 437-nucleotide ribosomal RNA is filed under the name Roseateles sp. RNAcentral's name for it is "bacterial SSU rRNA". It matches the Rfam family "Bacterial small subunit ribosomal RNA", at positions 421 to 851 of the family's 1533-position model. The record is from RNAcentral. Lineage: Bacteria; Pseudomonadati; Pseudomonadota; Betaproteobacteria; Burkholderiales; Sphaerotilaceae.